Molecule: small RNA, 90 nt
Filed under: Flavobacterium terrae
Lineage: Bacteria; Pseudomonadati; Bacteroidota; Flavobacteriia; Flavobacteriales; Flavobacteriaceae
Description: Flavo-1 RNA
Rfam family: Flavo-1 RNA
Source: Rfam by way of RNAcentral
AAAUAGCCCUGAUAGAAGCGGUAUCCUUUUUGUGCACUGAGCGAAGUCGAAGUGUGUUACAAAAAGAUAUAGCGAAUAGCAGGAUAAAGC